Long non-coding RNA from Cinclus cinclus, 372 nucleotides. RefSeq lists it as uncharacterized. NCBI's taxonomy places the organism in Eukaryota, Metazoa, Chordata, Aves, Passeriformes, Cinclidae. The transcript has 3 exons. The record is from RefSeq and is a predicted model, not a curated record.
CAGGUACUGAAAAGUUUUGUGUUUGGCAGGCAAAGGAAGGAGGAAUGAAGGUGGGAGCUGAGGAUGGACAACUGCAGCUGGAAAAGAGGCACACCAGGAGGAAAUUCCCCAUCUCCAGCUGAGAAGGAAUAUUUGCAGCUCUCCAGGCCUUCAAAGGGUGAAACAGGAACAGAGUGGAAGGAACAGAAUUCCUGUCCCUGAACCCCUGAAGCAGCAGGCUGGAAAAGGCCACUGGUGUAACUGGGCACAAGAGCCACCCAGGGGCCAAAGGGGCGCAGGACCAAAUUGCCCAGAUCCUUCAGUUUGCCUGCAAUGACAUUCCAAGAGAACACAGUGAGAGCUGAGCAGAGGGAAAACUCCAUGGAAUGACAC